GACCCCUACCCGGAAGAGGGCGCCUGAGUCAGGGCCACCCCUGUCCUCUGGGCUUGGGGACAAAAGCUCCUGAGACCUCGAAGGCAGAAAAGACUCGAGGCUGCUCUCCUGCAGCGUGUGUCCUCAGGGAAGUGGACAAGGGGGAUUCGCCACAAACUCAGGCCUGUCCUAGCCCUUCCUCCAGCAACGGGUCUGGAGGCAGGGAGGCGGGCAGCGCUCUCUCCGAGUCCAGACGUGCCGGAGGCUGGUCUUUCCAGCUGGAAGCGGAGCCCUCGGUGUGCUCCCCCUUGCCACCCUUAACUCCCUCCGUCCUGCAGGUCGUGGCCACUCCAGGAAGGAGAAGCAGAACUGUCAGACACUGACCAGUCUCCAUGGUGACCCUUGUGUUUAGCAAUACCUGGGGACUGACUACAGUGCUUGUCCACUGGCAACAGGAAAAGCACACAGAUGAGCCAGGGGAAGGAACGGUAAAGCCUUGCAGCCUUCCAGCUCUCCAGGGCAGGCUCUCCACAUCUGAUUGCCCCAGUGCAUCUGCAGGCUACCACCUGUCCAUUUGCUGCACCAGAAGUUUGCGUGAAGGUUCUGCCUUGUCUACAC
Molecule: long non-coding RNA, 597 nt
Filed under: Homo sapiens (human)
Lineage: Eukaryota; Metazoa; Chordata; Mammalia; Primates; Hominidae
Description: HSALNT0219026
Source: RNAcentral